Molecule: ribosomal RNA, 19 nt
Filed under: Ozothamnus alpinus
Lineage: Eukaryota; Viridiplantae; Streptophyta; Magnoliopsida; Asterales; Asteraceae
Description: partial 18S ribosomal RNA
Source: RNAcentral
CUACCUGGGUUGAUCCUGC